RNAcentral lists this long non-coding RNA (400 nucleotides) under Setaria italica (foxtail millet). RNAcentral's name for it is "long non-coding RNA (SITA_LNC000978)". The record is from RNAcentral. Lineage: Eukaryota; Viridiplantae; Streptophyta; Magnoliopsida; Poales; Poaceae.
AUCUAUCAAUGAACAAGCUUACUGGCUUGAUUCCUAAUGAAAUUAUGAAGCUAUCAUCAAUCUCAAUAGGUAUUGAUUUGUCCAACAACAUGCUGGAGGGAUCACUUCCAUUAGAAGUUGGUAAUUUGGUACAUCUUGAACAGCUCAUCCUGUCCAGGAACAAAUUGUCAGGUGAGAUACCUCAUACUAUUGGCAACUGCAGAGCCCUGCAAAUCCUCUUAAUGGAUGAUAAUUUGUUCCAAGGAAGCAUACCUGCCACUUUGAAGAAUAUGCAAAGCCUCACUCGCCUCAAUUUGACAGCCAAUAAACUGAAUGGCAGCAUUCCUGGCAGCUUAGGCAGCAUUACUAGCUUGCAGGAACUGUACCUUGCCCACAAUAAUUUAUCAGGACCAAUCCCAGA